UACGGGGGGGGCAAGCGUUGUUCGGAAUUACUGGGCGUAAAGGGCUCGUAGGUGGCCAACUAAGUCGGACGUGAAAUCCCGGGGCUCAACCCCGGAACUGCCUUUGAUACUGGUAGUCUCGAGUCCGGAAGAGGUGAGUGGAAUUCCGAGUGUAGAGGUGAAAUUCGUAGAUAUUCGGAGGAACACCAGUGGCGAAGGCGGCUCACUGGUCCGGUACUGACGCUGAGGUGCGAAAGCGUGGGGAGCAAACAGG
This 253-nucleotide ribosomal RNA is filed under the name uncultured bacterium. Its description in RNAcentral is "partial 16S ribosomal RNA". It matches the Rfam family "Bacterial small subunit ribosomal RNA", at positions 524 to 776 of the family's 1533-position model. The record is from RNAcentral.